GAUGAACGCUGGCGGCGUGCCUAAUACAUGCAAGUCGAGCGAACAGACGAGGAGCUUGCUCCUCUGACGUUAGCGGCGGACGGGUGAGUAACACGUGGAUAACCUACCUAUAAGACUGGGAUAACUUCGGGAAACCGGAGCUAAUACCGGAUAAUAUAUUGAACCGCAUGGUUCAAUAGUGAAAGACGGUUUUGCUGUCACUUAUAGAUGGAUCCGCGCCGCAUUAGCUAGUUGGUAAGGUAACGGCUUACCAAGGCAACGAUGCGUAGCCGACCUGAGAGGGGGAGCGGCCACACGGGAACUGAGACACGGUCCAGACUCCGACGGGAGGCAGCAGUAGGGAAUCUUCCGCAAUGGGCGAAAGCCUGACGGAGCAACGCCGCGUGAGUGAUGAAGGUCUUCGGAUCGUAAAACUCUGUUAUUAGGGAAGAACAAAUGUGUAAGUAACUAUGCACGUCUGGACGGUACCUAAUCAGAAAGCCACGGCUAACUACGUG
Molecule: ribosomal RNA, 497 nt
Filed under: uncultured bacterium
Lineage: Bacteria
Description: partial 16S ribosomal RNA
Rfam family: Bacterial small subunit ribosomal RNA
Source: RNAcentral